AUGCAACUCUUGCCUUCAAGUGGCUUACAUGGAGCACGUGUGCUUAUGCCAUAUCAUCUCUACAGAGAAGUCAUGAAAGGGCUAAAGUUUGUGAGAGGAACAUUUUAUAUAGAAGAGUUCUAUUUUAUAAAUCUUACCAACAGUCAAAUGUCAAUGAAUUUGAUGCUUAACCACACUAACUUCUUGUGCUUCAUGAAUCUUUCAGUCAUUCAAUACCAGCACAAGCUUGAGUCAUCAAGGAUACUUCAAUUAAUGGAGUCUUCCUUGGCCACACUUGGAAGUGCCUUGGUGACCCCUGAACAAAUUAUUUGAGAACCACCUGACCAAGAAAGAAAAAUCUGCAUUUUUAAAUGGGAAUCAAAGGUGUUUGCUCCAAAGCCAUGUUUCUACAAUGAUUAAAUCAACACUGUUGUUUCUGGAAUCUCAAGUUCUUUACUUUUGAAUUUUCUUCCAAUAAAAACCAAUCUCAUCCCA
This 474-nucleotide long non-coding RNA is filed under the name Oryctolagus cuniculus (rabbit). Its description in RNAcentral is "lncRNA (ENSOCUG00000030759.1)". The record is from RNAcentral. Lineage: Eukaryota; Metazoa; Chordata; Mammalia; Lagomorpha; Leporidae.